UAUGUCUUCUCUUCUCAGCAAGAUAGAAAAUUAUUGUUAAAAGGAUAAAAAGUCCUCAUAAUAACAUGGAUAAGACAUCCACGGAUAAGACAUCCACGGAUAAGUUUAGCUCAGCUGAUAUAUCUGUACUAAAGAAGCUACUGUUAUUUUCUCUUGGAAUGUUCAUUUUUCCAAUAGGAACAUUCUUUCUUCUUCAGAAAGGUUUACCUCAAGGUAUGAUAUGGAAGUGUUGUAAUACCUGUAGCUGGCAGUGUUAUAGCAGUGCACAUCGUAAUUGGUGCUUAUGUCUGGAUGGCUAUGCAAGAGAGUGAAGAUACCUAUAAAGAUAACCAGACACCCAAAGAAGACUAAUACUGAGGGCUAAUAAGCUCAUAAUUAUGACUGUGUGCUAUGCUGAACACAUACCACGUGAUGGAAAAAGUAAAACAUGUGAAUAUAAGAGUAUUUAACCUAUCAAGAAUCAAUAUGGACAAAUGAGUGAUGUUUGGUUCAAUGUUUUUUACGAUAAUAGGGCCAUUUAAACGAGAGAAAAUAAGUCGCGUAUUAGAUAAGAGCUUGGCAGGCUCGUAUAAAUGGACAGUUCGCGUCUUAUUUAAGUUGCGUCUUAUUUUUCAUCCUAUAAAUGGCCUUAAUAUUAUAGCACUGUAAUAGCAGACUAUGUGAGGAUGGCGCGAAUCGCGAUGUUACAUCUGGGAGUUAGUCACCCGCAGAGCCUGAAUUUAUUACCUACUUCAUUUACCAUAAGGUCACCACUUCCUUAUUCUACUACCAAACAUGAAUUUAGUAUUUGUCUAAAUAAAAGAUUUUUUAUGUACUUGUUGAAAAAAAAUGUUUUUCAUCAUUGCACGUAGCUAAUGAGAGUAAAUAGUUUGUGAGAGCAAAUUCCAUUGGUGGCAUUGGUUAAAAUAAUGAAGUUCUGACAUAAUUACAGAAAGUUUAUAAUUGUAUCAUAUUAAUUGAGAAAUUUAGAUUUUCAUGUACUAUUCCGGUCUGCAGGUAAGCGUAUCGUUAUUUUGUUCUUUCGUACUUCACCUGGACGGUGCUUUGUGGUAGACUAUAGCUAUAAGCUAUAUGGCUAUGGCGUUUGAACAAACAUUUAUAUCAUACCUGUACCUGUAAACCGAAAACGUGGAAAGAAUAAAUGGCUUUAAAACAACAUGUAGUAAAAAAACUUGAUUAUUAUUAAAAGUAAAACAUUA
Molecule: long non-coding RNA, 1199 nt
Organism: Dendronephthya gigantea
Lineage: Eukaryota; Metazoa; Cnidaria; Anthozoa; Malacalcyonacea; Nephtheidae
Exons: 4
Source: RefSeq, a predicted model, not a curated record